GACGUAGGGUGCGAGCGUUGUCCGGAUUUAUUGGGCGUAAAGAGCUCGUAGGCGGCUCGUCGCGUCGACCGUGAAAUCCCUCGGCUUAACCAAGGAAGUGCACCCGAAACUGGAUAGCUUGAGUACAGAAGAGGAUCGCGGAAUUCCCGGUGUAGAGGUGAAAUUCGUAGAUAUCGGGAGGAACACCAGUGGCGAAGGCGGCGAUCUGGGCUGAUACUGACGCUGAGGUGCGAAAGCAUGGGUAGCGAACAGG
This 253-nucleotide ribosomal RNA is filed under the name uncultured bacterium. Its description in RNAcentral is "partial 16S ribosomal RNA". It matches the Rfam family "Bacterial small subunit ribosomal RNA", at positions 524 to 776 of the family's 1533-position model. The record is from RNAcentral.